AUGCUGUAGUCGGGUAGGUUUAAGAGGAUCUUAUCUGACUUCGGAUCAGAAGGUUGGGGGUUCGAGUUCCUCCCGGUGUACCA
RNAcentral lists this transfer RNA (83 nucleotides) under Verrucomicrobiales bacterium. RNAcentral describes it as "tRNA-Arg". Lineage: Bacteria; Pseudomonadati; Verrucomicrobiota; Verrucomicrobiia; Verrucomicrobiales. The record is from RNAcentral.